RNAcentral lists this ribosomal RNA (467 nucleotides) under uncultured bacterium. Its description in RNAcentral is "partial 16S ribosomal RNA". It matches the Rfam family "Bacterial small subunit ribosomal RNA", at positions 28 to 506 of the family's 1533-position model. The record is from RNAcentral.
GACGAACGCUGGCGGCGUGCUUAACACAUGCAAGUCGAACGGAAAGGCCCUGCUUUUGUGGGGUGCUCGAGUGGCGAACGGGUGAGUAACACGUGAGUAACCUGCCCUUGACUUUGGGAUAACUUCAGGAAACUGGGGCUAAUACCGGAUAGGAGCUCCUGCUGCAUGGUGGGGGUUGGAAAGUUUCGGCGGUUGGGGAUGGACUCGCGGCUUAUCAGCUUGUUGGUGGGGUAGUGGCUUACCAAGGCUUUGACGGGUAGCCGGCCUGAGGGGGUGACCGGCCACAUGGGGACGGGGAGACGGCCCAGAUUCCUACGGGAGGCAACAGGGGGGAAUAUGGCACAAUGGGCGGAAGCCUAAUGCAGAAACGCGGCGGGCGGGAGGACGGCCUUGGGGUGGUAAACCGCUUUGGCCGGUGACGAACCGGGGGGGAGGGAAAGGGUGAAAGAAGCACCGCUAAAUUACUU